RNAcentral lists this ribosomal RNA (253 nucleotides) under uncultured bacterium. Its description in RNAcentral is "partial 16S ribosomal RNA". It matches the Rfam family "Bacterial small subunit ribosomal RNA", at positions 524 to 776 of the family's 1533-position model. The record is from RNAcentral.
UACAGAGGUCUCAAGCGUUGUUCGGAUUCAUUGGGCGUAAAGGGUGCGUAGGCGGCGCGGUAAGUCGGGUGUGAAAUCUUGGAGCUUAACUCCGAAACUGCAUUCGAUACUGCCGUGCUUGAGGACUGGAGAGGAGACUGGAAUUUACGGUGUAGCGGUGAAAUGCGUAGAUAUCGAGAGGAACACCUGCGGCGAAGGCGGGUUGCUGGGCCGACACUGACGCUGAUGCGCGAAAGCCAGGGGAGCGAACGGG